This 93-nucleotide ribosomal RNA is filed under the name Staphylococcus hominis. RNAcentral's name for it is "16S rRNA. Bacterial SSU". It matches the Rfam family "Bacterial small subunit ribosomal RNA", at positions 1 to 88 of the family's 1533-position model. The record is from RNAcentral. Lineage: Bacteria; Bacillati; Bacillota; Bacilli; Caryophanales; Staphylococcaceae.
UUUUUAUGGAGAGUUUGAUCCUGGCUCAGGAUGAACGCUGGCGGCGUGCCUAAUACAUGCAAGUCGAGCGAACAGACGAGGAGCUUGCUCCUU